RNAcentral lists this transfer RNA (87 nucleotides) under Deltaproteobacteria bacterium. RNAcentral's name for it is "tRNA-Ser". It matches the Rfam family "tRNA". Rfam says of the family: Transfer RNA (tRNA) molecules are approximately 80 nucleotides in length. Their secondary structure includes four short double-helical elements and three loops (D, anti-codon, and T loops). Further hydrogen bonds mediate the characteristic L-shaped molecular structure. tRNAs have two regions of fundamental functional importance: the anti-codon, which is responsible for specific mRNA codon recognition, and the 3' end, to which the tRNAs corresponding amino acid is attached (by aminoacyl-tRNA synthetases). tRNAs cope with the degeneracy of the genetic code in two manners: having more than one tRNA (with a specific anti-codon) for a particular amino acid; and 'wobble' base-pairing, i.e. permitting non-standard base-pairing at the 3rd anti-codon position. The record is from RNAcentral. Lineage: Bacteria; Pseudomonadati; Myxococcota; Myxococcia.
GGAGAGAUGGCCGAGAGGUUGAAGGCGGCGGUCUCGAAAACCGCUGUGGGGGUAACCUCACCGGGGGUUCGAAUCCCCCUCUCUCCG